ACGCUGGCGGCGUGCCUAAUACAUGCAAGUCGAACGAGAGCGACCGGUGCUUGCACUGGUCAAUCUAGUGGCGAACGGGUGAGUAACACGUGGGUAACCUGCCCAUCAGAGGGGGAUAACAUUCGGAAACGGAUGCUAAAACCGCAUAGGUCUUCGAACCGCAUGGUUUGAAGAGGAAAAGAGGCGCAAGCUUCUGCUGAUGGAUGGACCCGCGGUGCAUUAGCUAGUUGGUGAGGUACGGCUCACCAAGGCCGUGAUGCAUAGCCGACCUGAGAGGGUGAUCGGCCACAUUGGGACUGAGACACGGCCCAAACUCCUACGGGAGGCAGCAGUAGGGAAUCUUCCGCAAUGGACGCAAGUCUGACGGAGCAACGCCGCGUGAGUGAAGAAGGUUUUCGGAUCGUAAAACUCUGUUGUUAGAGAAGAACAAGUGCUAGAGUAACUGUUAGCGCCUUGACGGUAUCUAACCAGAAAGCCACGGCUAACUACGUGCCAGCAGCCGCGGUAAUACGUAGGUGGCAAGCGUUGUCCGGAUUUAUUGGGCGUAAAGCGAGCGCAGGCGGUUCCUUAAGUCUGAUGUGAAAGCCCCCGGCUCAACCGGGGAGGGUCAUUGGAAACUGGGGAACUUGAGUGCAGAAGAGGAGAGUGGAAUUCCAUGUGUAGCGGUGAAAUGCGUAGAUAUAUGGAGGAACACCAGUGGCGAAGGCGACUCUCUGGUCUGUAACUGACGCUGAGGCUCGAAAGCGUGGGUAGCAAACAGGAUUAGAUACCCUGGUAGUCCACGCCGUAAACGAUGAGUGCUAAGUGUUGGAGGGUUUCCGCCCUUCAGUGCUGCAGUUAACGCAUUAAGCACUCCGCCUGGGGAGUACGACCGCAAGGUUGAAACUCAAAGGAAUUGACGGGGACCCGCACAAGC
This 916-nucleotide ribosomal RNA is filed under the name uncultured bacterium. RNAcentral's name for it is "bacterial SSU rRNA". It matches the Rfam family "Bacterial small subunit ribosomal RNA", at positions 33 to 930 of the family's 1533-position model. The record is from RNAcentral.